RNAcentral lists this ribosomal RNA (477 nucleotides) under Busseola sp. BUCAG3705. RNAcentral describes it as "partial 16S large subunit ribosomal RNA". The record is from RNAcentral. Lineage: Eukaryota; Metazoa; Arthropoda; Insecta; Lepidoptera; Noctuidae. RNAcentral also lists the same sequence under 7 other names.
UGUCUUUUUGAAAAUAAUUUAAGGUUUAAUCUGCCCACUGAUUUAAUAUUAAAGGGCUGCAGUAUAUUGACUGUACAAAGGUAGCAUAAUCAUUAGUCAUUUAAUUGGUGACUUGUAUGAAGGAUUGGAUGAAAUAUAAACUGUCUUUUAAUUAAAAAUAGAAUUUAAUUUUUUAAUUAAAAAGUUAAAAUAAUUUAAAAAGACGAGAAGACCCUAUAGAGUUUUAUAAAUAAUUUAAUUAAGAUUAUUUGUAAGAAAUUGAAAUUAAAAUUAAUUUAUUUAUUAUAUUGGGGUGAUAAAAAAAUAAAUUUAACUUUUUUUUUUAUAAGACAUUUAUAAGUGGUUAAAUGAUCCAGUAAUAUUGAUUAUAAGAAAAAAUUACCUUAGGGAUAACAGCGUAAUUUUUUUUUUUAGUUCACAUAAGAAAAAGAGUUUGCGACCUCGAUGUUGGAUUAAGAUAAAAUUUAAAUGUAGAAG